CGCCGGUCUCUCUUCUUUUCAAAUAGGUAAGUGAAAACUUUUAAGAAAUUCCAGGAUGGUAUUUUUGGACUUCUAUUGACAGCGAAAAAUCAAUUUGAGAGCCUUUUUAUUUUGUUUUCAUUAACACAGCCUCUUAAUGCCUAUUUAACUGAUUUGAUCACUGUUCCCUCUGAGCAAACAGAGGUGUAAAUAAGCCGCCGGUUAAACAGAAGGAAAGGACUGUAUAGGAAAACAAUCAAAGUGGGAUUUUAUUUGUAGAAGAGAACAAACAAUAUUGAAAAACCUCAGACAAUUAUACAUAAUAUUAUGAAAAACUGAAGAACCUGACACCUCUGCCAAAUUGAUGGACAUUUCCUCUGCAGGGACUAAAAUUAGACUCAUUUACCAGUAGCUGUGACAGACGCGUUCAAAGUGUCUAAUUUUAUGUUUUCCAAUGUAUUUUUUUUUAAAUAUUUUAACUUUUUCAUGUUAUAACAUCACAUAAAACGAGCGUACAAUGACAAUUGAACAGUCCGGCACCAAGAACAUUUAAUACACAUCAUUUAAUACACAUGAACAGUGACACUCAACUUUUAUGUCUCACUCAAGGAAAAUGUAAUUAAUUAUUAUUCCUUAUUUGACAUUUUCCUUUCCAGAUGAAGCCUAAAUUCACAGGGUUCACAGCGUCUAUGACGUUCCUAUGAGGGAAACUCUAAAAUCGUCAGUAGUCCUUUUAAAGCUCCUGUGGAGGUUUUUUUUUACUUUCAUCAAAUAGACUGAGAUUGAUGUUGAUUCUAUUUUAUGAUAUAUGUCAGCAAAUAAGACCAUUAGAGACAAGAUUAGCAAACUAAUUUUUGUUAUUUUUACUGCCUGAAACCUGUGCGGGAGGGUAGGUGUCGGCCAACCAGCUGAAAAAAAAGUCUGUUUUUUCCAUUUGUCACACCCAAUAUUUCUGAUAAAUGGCACAUUUGACUGUCAAAAGUCAUAAUGAUGGGAUUUUUCCCUUCACAAUGGGUGCCAGAAUUAACACAAACACAAAGUUCCUCAUAGAAGCUUUAAGAUUUAAGUUUUUUUUUGUUUUCUGGGAGGUGCUAGCAUCACUUUAGAUAACAUUAGAUUUUCCAAACCUGUAAAAUAUCUCUAACAAACAGAAAAUCAUCUUUAGAAGCUAAUUUUUAUCAAAAAAUGGCCUAAAUUACAUAAUAUGAAGCCCAAAAAGGACAAACAACUACUCUGUUUAACAUUUAUCUUCCUGUGAUUAUCAGGUCAUCUUUAGUAGCCAGCGUCUGAUCCAGCAGAGGGCGCUCUUAUCGUAACCUGGCUAGUCCAUGCACUCUUGACCUCAGUUAGCAAAUGUAAUGAGGAUAUAAUCAAGCAAAGCAGCGCUAAACUGAAAACAAUGAUGCCAAAACAUCUGAGAAACGCUCAGUGGAAGAACUUUGGGAUCUACACAAGAGGCUGUACAGACAAAAUUGGCCUUUUCUACAGUUUCUAUCAAGUUUCCAUCCACCGAUAAAGAAACCCUUUCUUGCAUUAGAGACUAGAGGUGUCAUUCAUAUUUGCACAGGACUUUGGACACUAUAGUCACAAACUUAAUGAGACCUGGCCUCAAUAUUAGGAUGUUUUCAGGCCUGUUAUAUGGUAUCCUGUAGAAAUGUAUGGACUUCUGGGUUGAUUUUCUUCAGUGCACAGACAUGAGAGGAUAUGAGGAACUGAACCCCCAGAAAACAUCACAGGACAGUAUCAGAUAUGUAGCAUAAAUGAGUAUUGAGUCUCAUGUAUUAAUGGCAGAAACAUAUGGAUGCUGUUGUCUGAUAAUGUUACAGGUUUACUCUCAGGUGGUUUGUUCUCGUUCAAAAGCGGUUAACAACGAACAUCAGAUCUCCAAGAAUCGUGGGAGCGUGGGAUCGUCCACUUUACAUUUCCAGUGCAGAACUAUUUUUACAAGACAACCACGUCUCUUAAAACGUAUUUAUAGAGUAUGUUAUGUAAUUACAUCUGUAUGGAUAUGAGGUUGCUGUAGAAGAGUCGUGUUUAACGGACAUGUUAAAGAAGGAUGUCUUAAUUCUAGUAAGGGAGUGAAUUUUCGCCCUUUAUUUGGCGAUUAUCAAACUAGUGGGCUUUAAACACUCUGAGUAAAUCUGGGAUCAAUCUGUCCUCUUGGAUUUUUUUACCCUCCUAAUGAUCAGAUUGGCAAACAUAUGUCUCUUUACUUUUUCGCUUCACCAUGUCAGCACUUAUGAAUGCACUUAACUCAUUAAAUCAAACAAAAGCCUCUGCUUCAAUCUCAUCAAACUCAUUUACAAAUUAAAACAAGAACAUUUCACAUCAGAUAAGGAAAAUUCAGCACUACUCUUGUCUUUUUUUUCUUUUUUUUUUUUGUACAAUCCACAUUCCUCCCCCGCACAUUUCUUAUCUGCUCUUUUAUCUUUCUGCACCACAAAAUCUAUGCACACUGAAAGUGUCAGCGAAAAAAAUAGCUGGUCUCAUAAUAUCAUUCCACAAGCCGAGGUUGAUUAUGAUAGUGAAAUUGGCAGCAGGGCGUGGAAUAUCCCUGUGGUGAUUUUCCAACUCCAACUCAUUUCACAGACCGCCUCGAGGUCCUGAUCUCUGGGAACCCGGGUCGACGAGGCUCUGGCCCUGCCUGUGCUGCUGCAGCUGCUGAUGUCUUCAUCGCCGUUUCACAGACUUUUUACGUGUUGCUCUCGACGCUGCAGCACCGAAGGGACCUGUGCUGCGACGGGGAAGUGAUGCAACCACAAAUUCAUGUAAGAGCGGCUUGAAAACACACUGACACUGUGGUUUGCUGACCUCAGAGGAAGGAAAGAGACAAAGAGAAAGAGAGAGCGAUAUACACGCAGGGGAAAAAAAAAAAAACAGAGACGGUGAGCAGAGAGAGAGAGUGACAGUUUUUCAGGUGGUCAAAAGGUCUAAAUGUCAGGUGGUGACAGUUUACAACAAGAAUG
Xyrichtys novacula (pearly razorfish) is the source of this 2945-nucleotide non-coding RNA. Lineage: Eukaryota; Metazoa; Chordata; Actinopteri; Labriformes; Labridae. The record is from the annotation of a GenBank genome assembly.